AUCAUAAUAGGCAUAAUGACAUCAUAAUGGUCAAGAUGGUGUCACAAUGCUCAUGUGAACCAUAAUGGUCAUAAUGACAUCAUUGUAGGCAAGAACCAUGAUGAUAUCAUAGUGGGCCUGCAGCAGAUGGGUCACAAGCACUGGGAUUCACAGAACAACUGAACAAGGGCAGGGGCUGUAUAUUAUCUGGCUUUGCAUUUGAGAAGCCUGAGAGUGGUCUUCUGGUCAGCAACCAAGUACUCAGGAAGACGUUUAGCCCUUGCAGUUUGGACAGCCUUUUCCAGGUAGGAAGACUUUUCUUCUCAGCAACCCCCAGCUGACCAGUGUUACCUUGCAGAAUUUCCUGCAGCUAUGAAAAUGCUCCAUCACCCUACUGUCUAGUAUGAUUGCCACUAGGUACGUGCUGUGCACACAUGGGAUUUCGAAAAAGUGCAAUAAGAAUGUAAAA
RNAcentral lists this long non-coding RNA (448 nucleotides) under Fukomys damarensis (Damara mole-rat). RNAcentral describes it as "lncRNA (ENSFDAG00000024282.1)". The record is from RNAcentral. Lineage: Eukaryota; Metazoa; Chordata; Mammalia; Rodentia; Bathyergidae.